RNAcentral lists this small RNA (485 nucleotides) under Histoplasma capsulatum var. duboisii H88. RNAcentral's name for it is "Histoplasma capsulatum H88 hypothetical RNA". Lineage: Eukaryota; Fungi; Ascomycota; Eurotiomycetes; Onygenales; Ajellomycetaceae. The record is from RNAcentral.
ACAAAGAACUCUGCGAACCUUGUUAUCUUGCCAAAGCAAAGAUCCAAAUAUCUCACUAUCCCCAUAUACAAUCUCAACUACCCUUUGAACAUCUCCAUGCAGAUAUUUUGCAAGGACCGUCCUACUAUUACAACAGAGAAAGAUGGCUCAUACAUUUUGUAUGUGAUUAUCUUCGUUUCCACAUUGCAAUCGCAGCCAUUCGAAAAUCCGAUAUAAGGAAAGCUUACAACAAAAUAAGGUAUAAAAACACAACAUCUUGGACAGGAGGAAUUCAACCUUCUCAUAUAUCUCUUUUAUCUAUUCUUUUUCAUUUUAAUCAUCAUUUCCUCUAUAUUAUUUCCUAUUCUGGUAAUUUAUCCAGCUUCAUUACUGAUGUUAUUCUGCUGAAGGGGGUAUGUCAGAACUAAUGUCUCAUAUCAAGGAUCUUGUAACAUCUCGCUAUUUGACACUUGCAAUGUCUCACUAUAUGAAACCGAGCAAUGCCC